This 273-nucleotide long non-coding RNA is filed under the name Olea europaea (common olive). RNAcentral's name for it is "long non-coding RNA (OEUR_LNC014983)". Lineage: Eukaryota; Viridiplantae; Streptophyta; Magnoliopsida; Lamiales; Oleaceae. The record is from RNAcentral.
AAGUUAGUGUUCCAUGAACUCAAUCCCACAUAAAUGCUGUGGCAUAAGUUAUCUAGCUACAUUCUAUUACCGGUUGACACCCCCUUGAAACUGAAAUAAGUCUUAUGGGAUAACAUACACAAGUAUGCCUCUAUCAAUUGGAUGUUUGAUGGGUAACUAGAAAUAUCGUAAGAAAAGAAUCUUACGCCUAAAAAUCCCAUGUCUUUCUUGGUUGGACCAACCCAACCGGCCAUUUCCGACAAGUCUUUCUUCAUUUUGAGAGCAAGAAGCGGA